UUGUACCUCACACGUGAGGUACUCCAACUGUCAAAGUAGCUAUUGCACCUCACGCAGCGUUGCCAGAUUGUACAAAUUUCUCAAAAAUGUUUUGUUGUCUGGUGGACGAUAGAUACGAUAGAUAUAGUGUGUAGAUAGAUAGAUCUAGUGUAUAUAGAUAUAGUAGCCUACGAAUAACGAAGUAAUGAAGAACUAGGAGUGCAAGUAGCGUUAUAAGUGAAACUCAACAGCGUGAUUUAUUUUGAUUUUAAAAAGCAUGUAUUAGCUUCAGUGUUCAGUCUUAAUGUAAUGGUAGCAAAGCUACUAAUAAAUAACGCAAAGCAUAGUGAACACUUGACCUUGUCGUUGUCGAGCGUUGCAUAAAACACUGGAUCGAAUCGUUCUUCGAAAAGGUGAUAUGGGUCAAUUACCUGGAAUGUAACCUUCGACUUGUUCAUGUUCCAUGAUUCAUUUUCGCGUUUACUUAUGCAAACCUCCCGUUGUCGCGCCUAUUGCCGUUAUCACUCAAUGCGUGAAAUCAAAAGAAUCAAGACUGUUUAAGCCAUAAUAACAUCUUUUUCAACGAAGAACCUAAUAUGAAUCUCCAAGAGAAAAUCUAACUGUUCCCAAGGUCUUAAGGUUGUCAUGUCAAUAUUGUAUAGGGAAAUAAAAUAGGAAAUUUUUCGUAUA
Molecule: long non-coding RNA, 669 nt
Organism: Daphnia pulicaria
Lineage: Eukaryota; Metazoa; Arthropoda; Branchiopoda; Diplostraca; Daphniidae
Exons: 2
Source: RefSeq, a predicted model, not a curated record